GCAACCUGCCCCAGAGUGGGGGAUAGCCCACCGAAAGGUGGAUUAAUACCGCAUGUGGUCCCCGCCGGGCAUCCGGUGGGGAUUAAAGCAGCAAUGCGCUCUGGGAUGGGCUCGCGGCCUAUCAGCUUGUUGGUGGGGUAACGGCCUACCAAGGCUACGACGGGUAGCUGGUCUGAGAGGAUGGUCAGCCGGAUUGGGACUGAGACACGGCCCAGACUCCUACGGGGGGCAGCAAUUAGGAAUCUUGCGCAAUGGGCGAAAGCCUGACGCAGCGACGCCGCGUGACCGAUGAAGUCCUUCGGGAUGUAAAGGUCUUUUGCCAGGGAAGAAGAACGUGACGGUACCUGGCGAAUAAGCCCCGGCUAACUACGUGCCAGCAGCCGCGGUAAGACGUAGGGGGCGAGCGUUGUCCGAAGUCACUGGGCGUAAAGCGCGCGUAGGCGGCCUCUUAAGUUGGGUGUGAAAUCCUGCGGCCCAACCGCAGAACUGCAUCCAAAACUGGGAGGCUUGAGGACGGAAGAGGGCAGUGGAAUUCCUGGUGUAGCGGUGAAAUGCGUAGAUAUCAGGAGGAACACCCGUGGCGAAGGCGGCUGCCUGGUCCGUAUCUGACGCUGAGGUGCGAAAGCCAGGGGAGCG
Molecule: ribosomal RNA, 636 nt
Filed under: uncultured cyanobacterium
Lineage: Bacteria; Bacillati; Cyanobacteriota
Description: bacterial SSU rRNA
Rfam family: Bacterial small subunit ribosomal RNA
Source: RNAcentral